UUAAAUCUCCGUUCUCAGGAGCCUCUGGCUUUGGGAGGUUCUCUGGAGGGCCUGUGGAUGUGAAGAGAUCCCACCGGAGCAGUUAAACUUGGGUGGGCAUAGCUAAGUGCCCAGGCAGAGCCAGGAAAAUUACUGUGGAUCAUUUUGAGCGGCGUGGACCUACCUGCUGAGAUAAUUUCACUCAGAAGCAUUAGAGAUACGCACAAGAAGGAAGGACAGAGUUUGUAAGCGAUGAUCAACAAAGAAAAGCCCAGUGAGGUGUUGGAUGAGCAGCUGCUAGUGGAUGCUGCAGACCAAUAGGUGUCAUGGUGUAAUAAGUGCUAGGACAAGGAAAAACGGCCUUGAGUUACACCAGGGAAGACCUAGAUUUGCUGUUAGAAGAGAUUUCCUCACUGAAAGGGUUCUCAAGCACUGGAACAGGCUCCUAAGGAAGGUAGCUGGAUCCUCAUCCCCAGAGGUGUUUAAAAGAGGCAGAGAUGUGGUGCUGAGGGAUGUGGUUUAGCACCAGACUUGGCAGAUAAUGGACUCAGUGAUCCUAAAUGUCUUUUCUGACUGAACCAAUUCUAAGGUUCUAUAUGGAGCAAAUUUGACUUUGCAGUGAGAGUAAAGAUGGUAAUACCAGAGUAAAGAUACUGCAAUAAA
Pogoniulus pusillus (Red-fronted tinkerbird) is the source of this 642-nucleotide long non-coding RNA. RefSeq lists it as uncharacterized. Lineage: Eukaryota; Metazoa; Chordata; Aves; Piciformes; Lybiidae. The record is from RefSeq and is a predicted model, not a curated record. The transcript is spliced from 3 exons.